UCCCUAUAAUUGUUAUUGCCGGUUGUGGACAUUCUCUAUUCACAGUAGUGAUUCCUACAAGUUUUCAAGUUACCAUAUGGAAGUGCAGACCCAAUGGAGAGAGAGCACAGGGCUCCCUGAGUCCUGUUCUGCCCUGCAGUGCUGAGGCAUUGCUGAGUAAUCAACAGGAGCGAUCUGCUUUAGAUUCCGACGUACCUGUUUUCGCAGUCUCCGAGUCCAUGACACUUGGUCAAUCCCCGCAGGAGCCGACCAUGUGAGCCCAUUAAGAGAACAGUUCCUUCCCACCUGCCGCCUGGAGCCAGCCAACAAUCUCAGCUUCACCACUCCAUUCUUGAUUAUGUACAGCCAUUCCAAUCCUGAGUGGCAGGAUUUUGCAAAGACAGCUGUUGGGCUCCAGGAACAUUUGGAGGAGGGGAAAAAUGUGAGCACUGAAAGAUGUUUGGAAAAUUCAUCUAAGGAACUUUAAAAAAUUUUUUUCAUUCAUAAAGAUUGUUGAAGGAUUUCUCAGAGUUUCAGUUUAGCAGAUCUUUUGGAAGAUGAGAAAACGGAGGAGAUUAAGUAACCAGCACUAGGUCAAAAUGGCUAGCAAACAGCAGAGCCAAGACCUCAGUCAAAGCUGGAUGCCAUUAAUGAAAAAUAUUUUCUAAGAACUUUGCAUUGGUUAUUCAUAUCACCUAUGAAGAAUGUUAUUCAUCUUAAGGAAACAAAAUUAAAUAAAAAUACUGACGAGUGUCUAGAGAAAGAUGACCAGGAGAAUGAAGAGUCUGGAAGCCAUGUAAUAAAAGGCAUGGUUGAAGAAAUGGUAAAUAUUUAACAUGAAAAAUAGAAGAUCUGGAUGGAUAUGGAAGAUAUCUUCAAAAACUGAAGACCUAGGGUGAACUGGAAGGUAUAGACAAAGAAAUUUUAACCUUAAGUGAAGUUUCCAACAAUAAAAUUACAAACAAGGGCAGAGAAAGCUCCAAAAGGAUUGAGCACAUUAAUCACUAGAAGUACUCAAGCAGAUACGGAGAGCUAUCCACUAGGGUUGUUCCUGAGUGAAAUACCACUUUUGGAGACAUUUGGCCUAGUUGAGGGAUUCUUAAUUUGAGAUCCAUAGGUGAACUUCAUGAAGUUGAAUCCCUAGAAAUUAUAUGCAAAAUUUUUAUAUGUAUAUAUAUAUAGUGUUCCCCACACCCCUCCUGGGGAGAUGGUGAAUGUAUUUCUUCAGAUCAUCAAAGCAAUGCCGUAAAAUCUGUGAACCAAAAAAUGGAGUCCACUCCAAUUCUGCAAUCCUAUUAUUCUGUUCUGUAAAACUAGUCUUAUCCGUCACAGAGGUGCACCCAACAGAAUUGUGUGAUUGAUUUAAUGUUAGGGACAAAGGAGAAUGAAUAUAUUCAGGAAAACUUCAAGGUUUUGAGCCUAGUUACUGAGAAGAUUUGAUACCACUGAGAGAUAAAGAAAAGGAAGGUGAAGCAAUAAGUCCUAAUCAGAGGAAGAUAAUUAAGUAGAAAUAAAUAGACAAACUGAAGCCUGUCUAAGAUUCCAGCACUGAGUGUGUAAUCCAAAUAGUCCUUUACUUCAUGGCAGAAAAAUGCUGAAAUCUAGAGAUGUAUAAAUAGAGAAAAAGCUACAGAAAUUUAGAACCAUUAAAUGUUGUAACUCUAACUGGUCUAGAGAUCACUUACUUCAAUCCCCUAAUAUUAUAAAUGAAGAAACCACAUCUCAGAAAACUAAGAGACAUAUUCUUUAUCAUUGGUACCUACCUGGUUGCCAAACCAAGUCUAUGUCUACAAAUUUAAGGGGAAAAAAAAUCCGUAUUUCUAAAACAUUCAAAUCUGCAUUAAGUAUACCACUUAAAUUUUCCAGGACAAAAAAAGUUAAUCUUAACUAUAAGUAAUACACAAAUGUCCAUUUUAUUAUAAGUCCAGACCGUAACACUGACCCUUAAGCAUUUUUUUUAUCACACAUCUUUAUUGGAGUACAAUUGCUUU
Aethalodelphis obliquidens (Pacific white-sided dolphin) is the source of this 1970-nucleotide long non-coding RNA. RefSeq lists it as uncharacterized. The transcript has 4 exons. The record is from RefSeq and is a predicted model, not a curated record. Lineage: Eukaryota; Metazoa; Chordata; Mammalia; Artiodactyla; Delphinidae.